Small nuclear RNA from Heterocephalus glaber (naked mole-rat), 107 nucleotides. The record is from Ensembl. Lineage: Eukaryota; Metazoa; Chordata; Mammalia; Rodentia; Bathyergidae.
GUGCUCUCUUCAGCAGCACAUGUACCAAAAUCAGAACCAUACACAGAAGAUCAGCCUGGUCCCUGUGCAAGGGUGGCGUGUAAAUUUGUGAAGCUGUCCCUAUUUUU